This is a long non-coding RNA of Ostrea edulis (European flat oyster), 937 nucleotides long. RefSeq lists it as uncharacterized. The record is from RefSeq and is a predicted model, not a curated record. The transcript has 3 exons. NCBI's taxonomy places the organism in Eukaryota, Metazoa, Mollusca, Bivalvia, Ostreida, Ostreidae.
GAUGAAACACUGGCCUACCACCAACUACACGCAAAGAUAUAUAAAUUGUCUAGAAAGUUCCCCAUUCACGUGGUAUUUUGAAAUCGACAUGUAUAUAUCUUAUAAAAGGAGAUUUACGUACUCUAAUACAAAUGUUUACCUUGUUACACUCUCAAGCAAUCUUCUGUAAGCCAUGCCAUACCUAGUUCUGACCCCAGAGCCCUACACACUGAAGACUUAAAUUCUGCAAGGUAGUCUUCCCUAAACAUUGUGCAGAUGAUGCAGUGCACAAAAUGUGAUGAAAAAAAUGAAGCAAGACUUGGAGACUCAUGUAGCAACCUAGCAGAAACUGACCUGCCAAGCAAUAUAGGGAUAAGCUGCAUGUUGAUGUGCAUCAGCCUACCCAGUAUGAAGUCCAAGUGCCUCCCUUAGACCCCUGGUAGUGGGGGUAAGCAAUGCAUUGUGACUGGACUGACCAGCCACCCCCGCCGCCCGGAAGAGGACUGUGAACUGAUGUGUACAGAAGUAAAAAUAUGGGCAGUGUUGUGAACGGAGCUGAUGGAACGCCGAUGUAAAACUCUCAUUCCUGUAAAUGAGAAAUCAAUCUGUAAUAGAUUUAUCAAGACUUUAUUUACUGCAUCCAAUUUUAAUUCCAUGAAAUGUCUGGGGACUUACCAGUCCUCGGAGAGUGUCUUUUGGAUGUCUUCAUUGAGUAAGCCAUUCGAUGAGGAUCUGUCAAAAAAUUAAUGCCUUGUCAAAAUUUCUAACCAGUGAAAUGCUAACACACAAAUAGCAUCUAAAUCCAGUCAUAACAAUGAUUUUUUUUAACUAGCUUUGUUUUAAUUAGCAUCGUCUGGAGAAUUUUUAAUCAUUCAGGCUUCAUAUAUUGCUUUCAGAUUCUUUUGUCUCUCCAUGAAAAAAUGUGCUCAUUUCUUACAUCAACAAAAUUUGGACUUUC